GGGUUGUGAGGUUAAGCGACUAAGCGUACACGGUGGAUGCCCUGGCAGUCAGAGGCGAUGAAGGGCGUGCUAAUCUGCGAUAAGCGCCGGUAAGGUGAUAUGAACCGUUAUAACCGGCGAUUUCCGAAUGGGGAAACCCAGUGUGAUUCGUCACACUAUCAUUAACU
RNAcentral lists this ribosomal RNA (167 nucleotides) under Salmonella enterica subsp. arizonae serovar 18:z4,z23:- str. CVM N7307. RNAcentral's name for it is "partial 23S ribosomal RNA". It matches the Rfam family "Bacterial large subunit ribosomal RNA", at positions 1 to 159 of the family's 2925-position model. The record is from RNAcentral. Lineage: Bacteria; Pseudomonadati; Pseudomonadota; Gammaproteobacteria; Enterobacterales; Enterobacteriaceae.